UUGAAAGGGAAACGAUUUGAAGUCAGUCAUACCAACGGGAAAUCAACCUUUUGAGCUUGGUCUCGUGGGUUUUUGAAGAGUUUCAAAGCCUUCGGAUUCGCGGGAUUGGGAUCUCUUGGUGUACUUUUUCGUACGGUUAGUCAACAUCGGUUUUUGAAUGUCAUAAAAUGACUGGAGGAAUGUAGCUUCGAUCUCGUAUUGAAGUGUUAUAGCCUUUGGUAGAUGUGAUGUUUGAGACCGAGGAUUGCAACGGAUACCCUUCAGGGGCUAUUCGGUCUGGAUCUCUGAUACGUUGCCUUGAUGUUGAAAGCUUGCUUAUGAUGUUAGGGUAUUACGGUCAAAAGGUUAGAACGAAUUACAUUCGUUAAGGAUGUUGACGUAAGUC
Molecule: ribosomal RNA, 385 nt
Filed under: uncultured Glomeromycotina
Lineage: Eukaryota; Fungi; Glomeromycota
Description: LSU rRNA
Source: RNAcentral